CGGAUGAGCAUUGUGAUCCUUUGCAACCCAGGCCAUUCUAGGAUUCUAUGAUUAUGGCUCCCCAUAGAUCCCUUAUGGCACCCUAUGGAUCCCUAUGGGUUCUCUGGGCAGCCUGGUCUAGUGGCUGGUGACCCUGCACACAGCAGGGGGUUGGAAGGAGAUGAGCACUGCGGACCUUUUCAACCCAAGCCAUUCAAUGAUUCUAUGAUUCUAUGGGUCCCUAUGGCACCUCUCUUCACUUUUCACGAUCUCCUCGGACUCUCCUUCUCCCCCAGCACUACUCACAACACGUGCCUCUAAGCCCACCAAGCAGCCAUCUCCCACCUGGCACAAGUUCCCUGCCACAAAUUCCGAGCACCCAGCCCAAAGCAGAGGAGCAGGAAUGGACCUCCCCAGCCCCUGCCCACCGCUUCGCACCGCCAUUCAGGUACCCCAGAGCUCUGAACUUCUCCUACCUUCCCAGGUGUGUCGGGUCGUUCUCUCAGCUGGUUCUGUGCUGCCCUGGACGUGCCUGCAGCCUGAUUCACGGGCACCUCCGAGCCUGCAGGAUCAAGCUCCACCCAGGGCAGAGGACCUUGCAGAAGAUGCAGUCUGUGCUCUGGUUACCAUGCAGUCUAAAUAGAAAAGCAGAGAAAAGAGGAGUGAGAAUUAAAGAAGAAUGAGUUUGGAGGGGCCUGGGUCGGGGGAAGGGCUGCAGAAAGAAGAAAUUGGCUCUUUAAAGGUAAGUGAGGGAUGUUUUGUUGCUCUUGUCAGAUAGAGCUGCAUCUCUGUGACACCAUGUCCCUAAUGGGGCAGAAGGAUUUUCUGGGGCCUGUUACAUUGUGGGGUGGAAUUACCAGGUCACAGCCUGAACCAAAGGUUGAGCACCAAAUGAGAAGGCACAGCUAACCCAGGGAGCUCAGGUGCAAGCAACGCACCUGGAGCCUGGAUCCACCCCUCCUCACCCUCAUUUAGGGGCUGGCAGCCCAGGGAACAGCAUCUCCUAAGAAUGUGGCAUAGGGACAUGAUCAGGCUUUAAUUUGAGCUGAACGUCUGAUUGCAGCUCUGUGUGUUCUGUUUGGAAGUUUACAGGUAUUCAGCGUGAUUGCGGCUUACAGCAAACCAAGUGGUGCAGCUGGUCAGACAGAACGGCCUCUCCUCCCCAUCCUGACUUCCCAUUCCCUCUGAAGCUUACAGCCAUCAGUUGUAGCACCCUGUCCUGUGGUUUGUCCCAUUGAUUUUCAGUGAUAGAAACUACUUUGUAGCUCUUUUGCUGCAUGGUGGCUUCCGACUCUUCCUGAUUGUUACCCAUGCUCUGGUACUGAGCCACACCAUUUGGGCCAUUGGCCACGUCACAUUUUGGAUGAAUCUGCCCUGAUAUUCCAUGCUGUACCUUGUAGGGGUUUCACAGAUGUUUGCUUCCCUGUUGGUUCCUAUUACACCAGCAGCUCCCAUCUCAGACUUCAUUAAGCACACAGAGGCAGGAAAAUGACCGGUGUGUUUGCUGGAUUAUGGGUUUGCUAAUAACGAGAACCAAAGUUUAGAAACUGCAGACUUCGCACGGGGCAAAUGGAACAACUCGAGGUUCUAAAACGUAAAGUAAACUUUAUUAUCCUUGAACCACAAAAUAGAUUUCUUUGGUUGUACAAAUGUCACUAGUUACAGUCUUGAUGCGCUAAUUAA
Molecule: long non-coding RNA, 1662 nt
Organism: Coturnix japonica (Japanese quail)
Lineage: Eukaryota; Metazoa; Chordata; Aves; Galliformes; Phasianidae
Source: Ensembl